UUACGACCAUAUCACGUUGAAACACCGCUUCUCGAACGAUCACCUAAUUUAAGCAACGUGGAGCCUGGUCAGUGCCAAGAUGGGUGACCGCUUGUGAACACCAGGUGCUGUAAG
Molecule: non-coding RNA, 114 nt
Organism: Acanthosepion pharaonis
Lineage: Eukaryota; Metazoa; Mollusca; Cephalopoda; Sepiida; Sepiidae
Source: the annotation of a GenBank genome assembly